RNAcentral lists this ribosomal RNA (493 nucleotides) under uncultured Mycobacterium sp. RNAcentral describes it as "bacterial SSU rRNA". It matches the Rfam family "Bacterial small subunit ribosomal RNA", at positions 84 to 590 of the family's 1533-position model. The record is from RNAcentral. Lineage: Bacteria; Bacillati; Actinomycetota; Actinomycetes; Mycobacteriales; Mycobacteriaceae.
GAGAUACUCGAGUGGCGAACGGGUGAGUAACACGUGGGUGAUCUGCCCUGCACUUUGGGAUAAGCCUGGGAAACUGGGUCUAAUACCGAAUAUUCCUCUUGGAUCGCAUGGUUCUUGGGGGAAAGCUUUUGCGGUGUGGGAUGGGCCCGCGGCCUAUCAGCUUGUUGGUGGGGUGAUGGCCUACCAAGGCGACGACGGGUAGCCGGCCUGAGAGGGUGUCCGGCCACACUGGGACUGAGAUACGGCCCAGACUCCUACGGGAGGCAGCAGUGGGGAAUAUUGCACAAUGGGCGCAAGCCUGAUGCAGCGACGCCGCGUGGGGGAUGACGGCCUUCGGGUUGUAAACCCCUUUCAACGCCGACGAAGCGUAAGUGACGGUAGGCGUAGAAGAAGCACCGGCCAACUACGUGCCAGCAGCCGCGGUAAUACGUAGGGUGCGAGCGUUGUCCGGAAUUACUGGGCGUAAAGAGCUCGUAGGUGGUUUGUCGCGUUG